GUGAAUCAUCGAAUCUUUGAACGCACAUUGCGCCCUUCGGUAUUCCGUAGGGCAUGCCUGUUCGAGCGUCAUUUACAAAUUCAAGCCUUGCUUGUUGUUGGGUGCUGUCCCGCCUCUGUGCGAGACUCGCCUUAAAUCUAUUGGCAGCCGUGGGAUUGGCUUUGUGCGCAGUACAAUUGCGCUUCCGAGCUUCUCCUUCGCCUUCCAGAAGCCUUUUUUACAACUUGACCUCGGAUCAGGUAGGGAUACCCGCUGAACUUAAGCAUAUCAAUAAGCGGAGGA
RNAcentral lists this unclassified non-coding RNA (282 nucleotides) under Dothideomycetes sp. RNAcentral's name for it is "partial contains 5.8S ribosomal RNA, internal transcribed spacer 2, and large subunit ribosomal RNA". The stretch from base 1 to 71 matches the Rfam family "5.8S ribosomal RNA", at positions 84 to 154 of the family's 154-position model. The record is from RNAcentral. Lineage: Eukaryota; Fungi; Ascomycota; Dothideomycetes.